ACCCCACUAUUAGCUCUCAAGGAAAACUCUAAGCACUACGGUUUCAAAACUAAAACUUAAAUAACAUGGCGGCGAGCUUAAAUUUCAGAGGAACCUACCAGAUAAAUGAUAACCCGCAAGAUAUUCUUACUUUACCUAAAAGUUUAUAUAUCGCCGUCUAGUAAUCUUUCAAGAAGGCUACAAGAUGUAUAAUCACAAAAAGACAGGCCAUGACAUAGCGUAUGGUGAAGACUUGAGGUGGGUUACAAUAAGUAAUUCUUUCAGAAAUUUGUCUAAAGACAAAGACUAAGAUGGAUUUGAAAGUAAUAGUUAAGAUAAAUACAUAGUGAAUUUUUCUAAGUUCGUGUACACACCG
This 355-nucleotide ribosomal RNA is filed under the name Haloa sp. 4 TRO-2019. RNAcentral describes it as "partial small subunit ribosomal RNA". Lineage: Eukaryota; Metazoa; Mollusca; Gastropoda; Cephalaspidea; Haminoeidae. The record is from RNAcentral.